RNAcentral lists this long non-coding RNA (222 nucleotides) under Elaeis guineensis (African oil palm). RNAcentral describes it as "long non-coding RNA (EGUI_LNC031286)". The record is from RNAcentral. Lineage: Eukaryota; Viridiplantae; Streptophyta; Magnoliopsida; Arecales; Arecaceae.
GCUGGGUUCGAGGUUCACCUACAUCACCUAGGUUGGCUCUUUCUCGAUGUUGGGUCUAUCAAGAGUCUCCAGAUAGGUCGGCAUUCGGAUAUCAGUGUAUAUGGAUGUUGCUAGCUUUGACAAUAGGUUUGCUAGAGCAUUAUCCAUCCUGGCUAUCUGCAAGAUUUGAAUUUAUUGAAAGAGGGGAUUAUUUCUCAUACCUUCUCCAGAUACUUCCCUAUG